Molecule: ribosomal RNA, 393 nt
Filed under: uncultured bacterium
Lineage: Bacteria
Description: partial 16S ribosomal RNA
Rfam family: Bacterial small subunit ribosomal RNA
Source: RNAcentral
AUACGGAGGAUGCAAGCGUUAUCCGGAUUUAUUGGGUUUAAAGGGUGCGUAGGCGGGACUGUAAGUCAGGGGUGAAAUACUGCAGCUUAACUGUAGCAUUGCCUUUGAAACUGCCGUUCUUGAGUACAGUUGAGGUAGGCGGAAUGUGGUGUGUAGCGGUGAAAUGCAUAGAUAUACCACAGAACGCCGAUUGCGAAGGCAGCUUACUAAGCUGUUACUGACGCUGAGGCACGAAAGCGUGGGGAUCAAACAGGAUUAGAUUCCCUGGUAGUCCACGCUGUAAACGAUGAUUGCUGGUUGUUAGCGAUAUAUAGCUAGUGACUGAGCGAAAGCAUUAAGUAAUCCACCUGGGGAGUACGUCGGCAACGUUUAAACUCAAAGGAAUUGACGGGG